This 2226-nucleotide long non-coding RNA is filed under the name Homo sapiens (human). RNAcentral's name for it is "non-protein coding lnc-PCNX2-4:1". Lineage: Eukaryota; Metazoa; Chordata; Mammalia; Primates; Hominidae. The record is from RNAcentral.
CUCUCCUUGGCUGAACUUUGGUCAGGCUCAUCUAAGCCUUCUUUCCGACUAGGCCUUGACCUUGGCUUCCAAUCCUGUGGACCCUGGAUCACCGAGUUGUAGCAAAGGUCUCGCUACGGCUGUUGAGAGAGAACCCCCAACCCUUCAUACCUGAUUACCGUCGAUACCUGAUCAAAUUCUUCAUUUUCUAUCAUUGGUAUCUGACCACCCUGGCCUGGCUUCAGCAAGAAUCCUAUUAGGCCUGCUUAAUCAGAACCCUCCCACCCGUGAUGUUCCCUAUCAGUAAGUUUCCAUCCACUUGACCUGACGCCCCCUUGGCUUUAAAUCCCCACUUGUCCAUGCUGUAAUUGGAAUUGAGCCCAGCUCUGUAUUGAGGUCUCUUUUCUCUUAUUGCAGUAGUUCCUGACUACAGUGUUUUUGCCACUUCAACUACUGUCUGGCCCUGUUUUUUAUUUGACAACAUUUCCAGCUAAGCAAUCAUGAUGCAUGAGAGUAAUGUUAAUGAUUCCAUCAAUAAAACAAAUGUGUGUACAUAAAUAUACACACAUCUACAGAGACACACAGAACUUGCUGCUCUAUCCAGAUAUUUUAAGAAACAUACUCCUAACCUCAAUGAGCUAGCCAGCUAGGAAUCCAAGGCCAGUUUUUGGAGAGCCUUGAAUGCCAUGGUAAAGAAUUUGGACUAUAUUCUGUCCAAAUUUUUUUGAUUGAAUAAGUACAUCAUAGCAAUAUUUGGAAAUGUAUCAUGGGGAGGAAUACAAAGGAUGGAUUCUACUAAUUAGAAAUUGGAUUCAGAGCAAUCUAUUAGAAGACUACUGCAGUGGUCUAAGAGGCAGAUAAUUAUGACCUGCACAUGGUCAGGACUAGUGGAAAUUAAAAAGAGGUGGCAGAAGAGGCAUUUGUGAUGGAGGAAUUUUAAAAUUUGGUGAAUGGGAAAGAAAAGUCAUGGGUGAAAAACUUCUGCUACUGAAGGUGAAAAUAUUGAGGAGGCACAGAUUUGACGGAAAAAAAUACUUUGAGUUUUGAGAUAUGUAAAGCUUGAGGUACCUGCUGCUGGGCAUUAUAUAUGUACCGCUUUAUUCAGCUUUAUAAAUUAUAGUUAAAUUAUAUUGCUUCAGUGCUCAGAAGAACAUUGUGAAGCUCAAGAGAAAUUCAGAACUGGAGGGAUAUGAUGCUUUAGUGUGAAGACGUGAGAGAGAAGUCUCAUUGCAAUAUAUAAAUACAAGAUACUUCUCGGACCAGAUGCGGUGGCUCACGCCUGUAAUCCCAGCACUUUGGGAGGCCGAGGCAGGCAGAACACGAGGUCAAGAGAUCGAGGCCAUCCUGGCCAACAUGAUGAAACCCCGUCUCUACUAAAAAUACAAAAAUCAGCUGGGUGUGGUGGUGCAUGCCUGUAAUCCCAGGUACUUGGGAGGCUGAGGCAGGAGAAUCGCUUGAACCAGGGAGUUGGAGGUUGCAGUGAGUGAGCCGAGAUCGCACCACUGCACUCCAGCCUGGUGACAAAGCGAGACUCCAUCUAAAAAAAAAAAAAAAAAUUACAAGAUACUUCUCUUGGCUUUGAGAAUCUUGCUAUAUACUUGCAGAGGACACAUAUCAAGCAACAUCCUCAAUGGAUAGAUGAUGUAGAGCAAUAAAAAAAAGACAUCAUCACAAGUGAAAAGCAAUGAGGUAUUGAGUCCAUGUGCGCCAGAGAAAUACAGUAGACAAAAUUCCUCUUAGAAGAUAUCCUGUAGUUAGCCUUUUGAGUAAAGUUAAUAGUGUGCACUAGUAGCACUUGUAUGUCUCUUACAUAUGAAUAGAAAAAGCGAAGUCCCUCUUCUAUAAAGACAUUAUUUCUGCAAUAUGUAGUUUCUGCAAUGAUAAUAACUUCUCUACCCAGCUACUCUACAUGACUGGUAUUAUAAUGUAUGAAUAAUAUUUUAUACUUGUAAAUAAUGCCAAAAGUAACAAAUAAAAUUUUGCCAUGACAAAUAUUUUCCCCAUGUUUCUACACCACACAUGGAGAAGUAGCACAGUGCAGUAGCUGAGCGCCUGGGUUCUGGAAGCAAACUACCUGGCUCAAAUCCUGGUUCUGUGACCUUAUACUAGUUUCUGAACUCUCUGUGAAUCAUUAUCCUCAUUUGAAAAAUAUAGUUACACUAACUACCUCAUAAAAAUAUUAUGUGUGUUAAGUGAAUUAAUACUUACAAAACUCUUAGAACAGUGCCUAGCAUAUAGUAAAUAUUU